RNAcentral lists this unclassified non-coding RNA (200 nucleotides) under soil metagenome. Its description in RNAcentral is "partial contains internal transcribed spacer 2 and large subunit ribosomal RNA". The record is from RNAcentral.
UCCUCAAGCAUCUUUGCUUGGUUGUGGAGGAAGAUGGUCUGUUGACCAUCCCCUCUAGAAUUCCUCAGCGGAGACCACAGCAGACUCAGGUGUGAUAAUACUACCUCGCUUGAGUGCUAUUGUGGGCUUCCGCUGGAAACCAGCCCCCAGCUAUUACUAUGUUUGACCUCGGAUCAGGUAGGGAUACCCGCUGAACUUAA